This 253-nucleotide ribosomal RNA is filed under the name uncultured bacterium. RNAcentral's name for it is "partial 16S ribosomal RNA". It matches the Rfam family "Bacterial small subunit ribosomal RNA", at positions 524 to 776 of the family's 1533-position model. The record is from RNAcentral. RNAcentral also lists the same sequence under 2 other names.
UACAGAGGGUGCAAGCGUUGUUCGGAAUUACUGGGCGUAAAGCGUGCGUAGUCGGUAUUGAGAGUCGCGGGUGAAAUCCCAGGGCUUAACCCUGGAACUGCCUGCGAGACCUCAGUACUAGAGUGUGAGAGGGGAUAGUGGAAUACCCAGUGUAGCGGUGAAAUGCGUAGAGAUUGGGUGGAACACCGGUGGCGAAGGCGGCUAUCUGGCUCACAACUGACGAUCAGGCACGAAAGCGUGGGGAGCAAACAGG